RNAcentral lists this ribosomal RNA (254 nucleotides) under uncultured bacterium. RNAcentral describes it as "partial 16S ribosomal RNA". It matches the Rfam family "Bacterial small subunit ribosomal RNA", at positions 524 to 776 of the family's 1533-position model. The record is from RNAcentral.
UACGUAGGGGGCUAGCGUUGUCCGGAAUCAUUGGGCGUAAAGAGCGUGUAGGCGGUCCGGUAAGUCAGGUGUGAAAACUCCAGGCUCAACCUGGAGACGCCACUUGAUACUGCUGUGGCUAGAGUCCGGUAGGGGAGCAUGGAAUUCCUGGUGUAGCGGUGAAAUGCGCAGAUAUCAGGAGGAACACCAGUGGCGAAGGCGGUGCUCUGGGCCGGAACUGACGCUGAGGAGCGAAAGCGUGGGGAGCAAACAGG